RNAcentral lists this long non-coding RNA (215 nucleotides) under Elaeis guineensis (African oil palm). RNAcentral's name for it is "long non-coding RNA (EGUI_LNC002378)". Lineage: Eukaryota; Viridiplantae; Streptophyta; Magnoliopsida; Arecales; Arecaceae. The record is from RNAcentral.
CUGCCUUGGCUCAGAGAAAGUGUUGACCUCGUCGGUUUGACCCUCGAUCUCAACCGAUCUGAGGUACUCUCACAGUUGGCCCUAGUUGCUAUAUCAGGCAACAUUGACUUUCAGUUCCCCACAGAUCACAGAAUCCUGCAAUCGCCUAUAACAAACUUGCCAUGAGUUGAUAAGGCAGGAGAUGGCCCACGUAUCUCACUAGAUGAAGCAGGAGA